GCGGGGAGCGGGAAAAUUGAAGUCCAGAUCGUCGAUGGUUGUCCAAUACUGUCGCAUGCAUACGGAUCGUUCGUUUCGUGAAAUUUUGGCUACGGAUGGAAGAGUUGUUUUGUCAUACGAUUGGUAAAGACUGAACGUCGAUCCGUAUACCGUUGGUAACGGAUGGACUGCGAAUUCACGAUCGGAAAAUAUGAUAUGUGGAUCCGUGAAUCUGCUGGUAAAGCGUGUGUGUUGCUAAGGGAGGCCUCAAAAAUGUUGUCGAUCCGUACCAUUGGUAACGGAUGGACUGCGAAUUCACCAUCGGAAAAUAUGAUAUGUCGAUCCGUGAAUCUGCUGGUAAAGCUUGUGUGUGGCUAUAAGGGAGACCUCAAAAAUGUUGUCGAUCCGUACCAUUGGUAGCCGUUUGUACGCUCACAGUCUACCUCGGUCUGCUCACGUCAGUUCCGGUUCUGUCUAUCUGUCUAUUCACAAUGUAAACAGUCACUGAAAAACCCUGAUAAGGAGUGUGUCGUGUAAUAUCUGUAUAAGAAGCAGCAAGUCUGUAUUUUUGUUGAGGAGAAGCACGUGUUGCGUAUAUCAGACAUCUUGAGGAAUUGCAAGUUGUAUAAUAAUAAUAACAAGACGCCUACUCAGGCGUUCACUCCGGGUACAGGGCCUUCACUAAGGUCUUGUCUAAAAGUACAACACACGAGUGACCACGAAUGACCACGAGUGAUUUCUGUGUUUAAAAGUCAUAAAAUAAUAAUAAAAAUCUAUUUACUACACUUUUGUAUCCAGAAAACCCCUGUUUCUUCACUUUACAAGACACGAAGACGAAAUUCAUUGGACACAUUGACAAUGCUCUCCUGAACAUUGCAAUUUACUACUUUUGCGCUGAAAGUCCGUUACCAUGGUGACAGCGUGUUUGGAUAAUUAAGCUCAAAAUUUGUCUUUUUCCGGCCGUUUUAAA
Molecule: non-coding RNA, 949 nt
Organism: Paramuricea clavata
Lineage: Eukaryota; Metazoa; Cnidaria; Anthozoa; Malacalcyonacea; Plexauridae
Source: the annotation of a GenBank genome assembly